AUACUACUCCCUCCAUUUAGAAUUAUUUGUCCCGGAUAUGGAUGUAUCUAGAACUAAAAUACAUCUAGAUACAUCCAUUUCUGCGACAAGUAAUUCCGAACGGAGGGAGUACAUA
Molecule: non-coding RNA, 115 nt
Organism: Triticum urartu
Lineage: Eukaryota; Viridiplantae; Streptophyta; Magnoliopsida; Poales; Poaceae
Source: Rfam